Molecule: small RNA, 547 nt
Filed under: Pan troglodytes (chimpanzee)
Lineage: Eukaryota; Metazoa; Chordata; Mammalia; Primates; Hominidae
Also listed under: 1 other name
Description: processed transcript
Source: RNAcentral
AGAUCCCGUAGCGUCAGUGGAGCCUCCACGGGUCUGUCCUCCAGCCCUCUAAGCAGCCCAAGGAGUCCGGUCUUUUCCUUUUCACCGGAGCCGGGGGCUGGAGAUGAGGCUCGAGGCGGGGGCUCCCCGACUUCCAAAACGCAGACGCUGCCUUCUCGGGGCCCCAGGGGUGGGGGCGCCGGGGAGCAGCCCCCGCCCCCCAGUGCCCGCUCCACACCCCUGCCCGGCCCCCCAGGCUCCCCGCGCUCCUCUGGCGGGACCCCCUUGCACUCGCCUCUGCACACGCCCCGGGCCAGUCCCACCGGGACCCCGGGGACAACACCACCCCCCAGCCCCGGCGGUGGCGUCGGGGGAGCCGCCUGGAGGAGUCGUCUCAACUCCAUCCGCAACAGCUUCCUGGGCUCCCCUCGCUUUCACCGGCGCAAGAUGCAGGUCCCUACCGCUGAGGAGAUGUCCAGCUUGACGCCAGAGUCCUCCCCGGAGCUGGCAAAACGCUCCUGGUUCGGGAACUUCAUCUCCUUGGACAAAGAAGAACAAAUAUUCCUCG